GGCCUCGUAGCUCCGUUGGCUAGAGUGUUGGCUGUACUGAAGCCUUCUCCUUGCUGGUAUGGGUUCGAAUCCCACUGAGGCCG
This 83-nucleotide transfer RNA is filed under the name Schistocephalus solidus. It matches the Rfam family "tRNA". From Rfam's summary of the family: Transfer RNA (tRNA) molecules are approximately 80 nucleotides in length. Their secondary structure includes four short double-helical elements and three loops (D, anti-codon, and T loops). Lineage: Eukaryota; Metazoa; Platyhelminthes; Cestoda; Diphyllobothriidea; Diphyllobothriidae. The record is from Rfam by way of RNAcentral.